GCUAUACCUGAAACCUUGGGGACUUGGAGAAGGCUUUUGGGAGAAAACCUUCCUCUAACAUAAUUCCAAACCCUUUUGCCUUCGCACCUUUCAUCUUCCAUAAACCUUUCUAAAAGAACAUGGAACUUCUGAAAUUCUCCAGCAAUCUUAUCGUAAAACACCCCAUUUUGAGAUCUAGAAUUAGCAAGAGCUUCAAGCUUUCUGUACUGAUGGUGAAGAGCUUCCCACGACAGGCAUGACUGUGCUACAUAAACCAGCUCGAAAUCGCUUUCUAAACUCCUUAGCAGCCUUUUCCUAACUGUUUUGCUCCAUGACAUGUAAGGGAAGACAGAGAAAUCCACAGGCUCAAUGCUGUCAAAAGAAUUUGGAGUCCCGACUAUUUGCUCGUUCAGGAUUGCAUUUAUUCCACAUGUUCGAUCGUAAUUGAGGACAUCGAACCAUCUCAUUCUUUGGGUGUACAUACUGUAGAAUGCAUCUAAAUCUUGGUCCUCAAGUCCAUUCUUAGGGUCUUCUCUUUCAACUACUGCUGCUAAGUUAAAGCUGCAAAUGGAUUCUGAAUAUUCAUUCAUGUCUUGAUCUUCAGGCUCUGGAUUAGAGCAGAAAACCGAUGAUGAAUAUUCGUUCGUGUCAAGAUUUUCUGAUGCUGGUGAAUUGGAGCUACAAACUGAUGGUAUGCACCGGUUUAAAUUUGCAUCUUUU
This 699-nucleotide unclassified non-coding RNA is filed under the name Hevea brasiliensis (rubber tree). The record is from RNAcentral. Lineage: Eukaryota; Viridiplantae; Streptophyta; Magnoliopsida; Malpighiales; Euphorbiaceae.